This 65-nucleotide transfer RNA is filed under the name Marmota monax (woodchuck). RNAcentral's name for it is "tRNA.Val". It matches the Rfam family "tRNA", at positions 7 to 64 of the family's 71-position model. From Rfam's summary of the family: Transfer RNA (tRNA) molecules are approximately 80 nucleotides in length. Their secondary structure includes four short double-helical elements and three loops (D, anti-codon, and T loops). Further hydrogen bonds mediate the characteristic L-shaped molecular structure. tRNAs have two regions of fundamental functional importance: the anti-codon, which is responsible for specific mRNA codon recognition, and the 3' end, to which the tRNAs corresponding amino acid is attached (by aminoacyl-tRNA synthetases). tRNAs cope with the degeneracy of the genetic code in two manners: having more than one tRNA (with a specific anti-codon) for a particular amino acid; and 'wobble' base-pairing, i.e. permitting non-standard base-pairing at the 3rd anti-codon position. Lineage: Eukaryota; Metazoa; Chordata; Mammalia; Rodentia; Sciuridae. The record is from RNAcentral.
AGAUAGCUUAAUGGUAGAGCUCUUGCCUCACAUUCAUAAGGCCUUGGGUUCAAUCCCCAGUACUG